This 253-nucleotide ribosomal RNA is filed under the name uncultured bacterium. RNAcentral's name for it is "partial 16S ribosomal RNA". It matches the Rfam family "Bacterial small subunit ribosomal RNA", at positions 524 to 776 of the family's 1533-position model. The record is from RNAcentral.
UACGUAGGGGCCGAGCGUUGUCCGGAGUUAUUGGGCGUAAAGCGCGCGCAGGCGGCCUCGCGCGCCCGACGUGAAAGCCCCCGGCUUAACCGGGGAGGGUCAUUGGGGACGGCGGGGCUUGAGGGCGGGAGAGGGUGGUGGAAUUCCCGGUGUAGUGGUGAAAUGCGUAGAGAUCGGGAGGAACACCCGUGGCGAAGGCGGCCACCUGGGCCGACCCUGACGCUGAGGCGCGAAGGCGUGGGGAGCGAACGGG